AUAUUCGUUUAAUUAAUAAUUAUCAAGAGAAUCAAUAGGCCUAUUUCGAGCGCGAUUUGCUGAUAAAACUUUGCACGAAUUACAAAUUUUGCUACAUCCUCCUGCUUGAUCCGGAACCGCUGGGAACAUUUUUCCAAACCAACUUUCCUUUCCUUUUUACAUUUUUCUAACUUCGCGGCGAUCCUUAAAUUUUGGUAUUUCGAUUCCUCGGCUUUUCAAAGAAAAGAUUUAACCUGAAAUUAAGCCGAGAACUCGAGCUUCAAGACCAAAUUUUCUCGUAUUUUAUUCCAGUAAGUAAACAUAUAGUAAACGUUUUUAAUGCCGCAACAUAUAAAAUUAGGUUACUCGAGUGAUUAGGGCGAAAGAAAUACCAGAUAGUGACACGAUUUACAAAGCAUAUUUUAUAAAGAUCUUCGUUCAUCGUUUGUUGGACCAGGCAUUAGCGAUACUUCUCGAACAAAACGAUUAAAAAGUAGAUCACCGUAUGUGACAAGUUAUUUCGCUGAGAAAUCCUUGAAUGUAAACGUGGCUUGAACCGAUAGCGUUCGAAUCGUUCGUAAUCUCUCGUGUAUCUUUCACAUUGUUACUAUUCGCAUGUAUUAUUUAUACGCGUAGACGUAACAAACAUGGACAAUGUGGAUGAUGUAGAGAACGUACAAGUAUUCACGAAACUCGAUUUUCACUAGGAUAACUGACCGUUCGUAUUGUCCCUGCAAAUCGUUGCGCAUAAAUAUGAAUCGCAUGAUCGAAGAGGCUGCAGUAUGAUACGUGUGUACUAUGAGAAAAAUUCAUGCGGCGUAUGAACCGAUAUUCCGUGCAAAUGUAAAUUUUAUACAUUUUCAGUGCGACACAUACAAAGAAAUGGGGGCUCUACCUUUGUACGUAGAGUCAGUCGACGCCUCACAUAUACAUGUGCAUGCACGUCUCACGUGUUUGUUUCUAUUGGUGGAGGAGUUAGCCACUGGCCGCUGAUGUAGUAGUAGUAGUACACAGAGCAUUCAGUAGUAUAUAAGGGCGACUCUUUCGUACGACCACGCAUAACCGACAGGGAGUCAUUCCAUGACACGCGUUGCACGCGACCGGGGCAGUCUCUCUUCCUCCGUUUCUUCCUUUUCUUCGCCAUUCUUUCGCCGUAUUGUGAUAUCCUCGACGACUGCCGCUUAGUUCGUCAAAGUGGAUCCUAGGGGGUAGCUCGACCCUCACUCUCGCCUUCUCUGCCCCUCUUCUUUUUGUCUUUUCUCCCUCUCUCAAGAUUCAUCAUCCUUCGCACAACGAUUUUCCGCAUUUCUACACCAGCACGCCAGUAUCUAUCUUUGCCAUUGAGAAACCUCCUUAGCAGAAUCGUCGUACUCGUUUGGAAUGUCAUUCUCGAUGAUCGCCAUAGGAGGCUCGUGGCUGACGUUAAUUUUGUCCAUGUGCUUGAUGUUAAUCGUUCUGCUAUUGGUGGUCCGACGAGGGAAAUUUCUGUAUGCUCUAAGAAAAGUGCCGUACCCGCCUGCUUUGCCCAUCAUUGGGAACGCGUAUCAAUUAUGUUGCAGUCCGGAAGAAGCCUUCAAAAAGAUGCUGAAAUGGGGAAGAGAGUUAGGAGAUAUGUAUUUGGUUUGGGUAGGCAUGCGACCGUUCAUCUUCCUCUACAAAGCAGAAGCGAUACAGCCACUGCUAAGCAGUAGUGUUCACAUCGAUAAAAGCUUGGAGUAUGGAUACUUACGACCUUGGCUUGGUUCCGGUUUGGUAACAAGCACUGGUGAGAAAUGGCAUUCUCGUAGGAAAUUGCUAACGCCAACGUUCCACAGUGGUCUUCUGGAAGUAUACUUGAAGACGGCAAUCAGGGAAGCCCAAAUAUUAAUCUCAUGCCUAAGUCAGGAAGUCGAUAAACCAGAAUUCGACAUUGUUCCUUAUGCCAAACGAGCGGCGUUGGAUAUAAUAUGCGAUAGUUCCAUGGGAUGUAACAUUAAUGCGCAGAAAAAUUUUAAAAACGAGUAUGUGCUGGCUGUGAACACACUAGCUUCCAUCUCGCAAAGAAGAUUUCUAAACGUGUGGAUGUCUUUUGACCCGAUCUUCAAGCUAACAAGCUGGGGUAAAGAGUACGAUCAAGCACUUCGUAUUACUCAUGGAUUCAUUAACAAAAUAAUCGCGGAAAGAAAAGCCGAGUGGAAAGCCAAAAAGGAUGGGAAUUGCCAUGAACGGUCUCAUAAACGUCAAGCUCUGUUGGACUUGUUGUUGGAAUUAUCGAAAGAUGGAGAAGUACUUAGCGACGUUGAUAUCCGUGAUGAGGUGAAUACGUUUAUGUUCGCGGGUCACGAUACCACUGCGACUAGCAUAUCCUGGUUCCUGUAUGCAUUAGGAAGACAUCCUCAGUACCAGGAAAAAAUUCUUGAAGAAUAUUAUGAGAUAGCAAAAACGGAAGAAUUAUCUCUAGAUAUACUAAGCAAAUUAACGUGGUUAGAAGCGUGCAUAAAAGAAUCUUGGAGAAUUUACCCAGUGGCACCACUCAUCGCGAGACAGAUUUAUCACCCUAUUACCAUUUUGGGACAUGAAAUUCCAGUAGGAUCGACGGUUCUCGUAAAUUCGUUCCUUCUUCAUCGUGAUACUCGAUACUUUCCAGAGCCAGAUACUUAUCGACCAGAACGAUUUCUCCCCAAUGGACCAAAAUAUCCUUCUUAUGCUUUCAUACCCUUCAGUGCUGGCUCUCGUAAUUGUAUAGGAUGGAAAUAUGCCACGAUGAUCGUCAAAGUUCUUAUUUUGCAUAUAUUGAAAAAUUUCCAAGUCAAGUCCUUAGAUACAGAGGAUCAACUUCGUUUUACCAGUGAAUUGGUAUUACACAAUGCUAAUGGACUUCGUUUAAAAAUUACACCACGAAAAUAGGGAAGUAUUGUUUAAUAUUAUUGCAGCAAUAUACACGACUGAGUGAAAUGAAAAGAUCGAAAUAAUAUAUAUAUAUAUACAUACUUUGAACUGUGAGCAAAAUCUUUUCUGCAUAUCAAUGUUAGAGAGACCAUAUUUUGUGAUAACGAUAAUGAUGUUAAUUUAUGUCAUAU
Molecule: RNA transcript, 3038 nt
Organism: Bombus pyrosoma
Lineage: Eukaryota; Metazoa; Arthropoda; Insecta; Hymenoptera; Apidae
Gene name: cytochrome P450 4c3-like
Exons: 9
Source: RefSeq, a predicted model, not a curated record